Molecule: long non-coding RNA, 392 nt
Organism: Labeo rohita (rohu)
Lineage: Eukaryota; Metazoa; Chordata; Actinopteri; Cypriniformes; Cyprinidae
Exons: 3
Source: RefSeq, a predicted model, not a curated record
GUUUUAUAAACAGAAAUUACUGCUUAUUUUCUAUCAAUUUCCUUUGUAUUUUGCAUCGACUUAAGAAAUUGAGUAAGUUUCGCGGCUAUCGUGAUCACGUGGACACAACGACCGCGGUCAACAACGGGAAAUCUGCUUGCCGGUCACAAGAAAGCUGAGGCUUAAACCACCUUAAGACUCCUUUAAAAAUGCAGCAUUGACAUCAUCGUCCAAAAACAUCUAAAUAACAACACAAGGCAGGAGGAUGUUGCUGAUCCACCUAUUGAUGUUCAAGAGGAAUUAGCUGUCCUCAACCAACUCCGUGAUCUUUGCAGAGCCUGCUCCUAUCUUGUGGGAUUGACAUGUGCCUUGGACCUGUGAUACCCCAAGAACUUUAAAGGGUUAGUUCAUCC